This is a long non-coding RNA of Homo sapiens (human), 573 nucleotides long. Ensembl annotates it as long intergenic non-protein coding RNA 1905. The record is from Ensembl. NCBI's taxonomy places the organism in Eukaryota, Metazoa, Chordata, Mammalia, Primates, Hominidae.
AUGGGAAAUAUGGGAAAAGCAAUCCUGGACAGCUUCAAGGAGCAAGGCAAACUUGAGCUCAGCCUUCAAGCAUGGGUAGAAUUUGGACUCAAGGAAGGACACAGGGAAUAUUAAAAGCAAAGAAGCUCUUUAUGACUACCAAUGAAGACAUUAACCUGACCAGAGAGGAGGAUACAGAGCUGAGAGAUGGAUCGGCCUUCCCCGUGGAGCACUCUGAGACAUGUCAUAGCUCAUUGACAUCUCGCAAUACAGGUCAAAAAGUUAGGUUCUGUCAAUAGAAGAUACUAAAGAAAGAAAGCCAGGAGAAGAAAAGGGACUUCUUUCUUCAAGGUCUAAGCUGUUCUAAUAGCAUUAUUCUGGGAAUGGCAUCUUCCACUCCUCCUAGUACAAAGAACCUGCUUCCUCAUACCCCGUCAAGGAACUGCAGCAUCCAGGUACUUUCUCUGCCUCAAAGGUCUGCAUCCCAUUCUCCAUUUGGCCCCUCCUUUGAACUACCAGAUCUCCGGCUGGAUUGCCUUUUUGUUCUGGAAUUUUCUAAAUUUCUUUAUUAAAUUUCCCAGUUGAAAUUCCCAA